CGUGAGCAAAAAUGUUAUGGAUGUUACAUAUUGAAGGUUACUUUCAGGUAGCUUGUACAUGAGUCCCCCUUGUGUGUAUUGUGUAGAACUAGAGGGAGAGUUGGGUAAGAUCUUGCAUAUGAAAUUUUCAGCUUCUUCUUUGUACUGCUCAAAAUUCUUGUCAUUGUUGAGCAGAGCCCUCCUUGACAAGAGCACAUGAGCGCCAGCAUACUUAUUGUCCCAGCUGAAAAGGUCUGGUUGG
RNAcentral lists this unclassified non-coding RNA (241 nucleotides) under Hevea brasiliensis (rubber tree). Lineage: Eukaryota; Viridiplantae; Streptophyta; Magnoliopsida; Malpighiales; Euphorbiaceae. The record is from RNAcentral.